GCAGCAACGGAGAACUGAACAGUCUCUGCAGCCGGCCAGUCCGCAGACACCGCGGGAGACGAAUCCCACCCGGGCUCGUCUGGACCAGCUUGGGACACACAGGAGGACAGAGACAGCGUUGCUUUGCAAAGUCACCAGUUCAAAGAAGUUCCUUCCCGUGUGUCGGGAGUGAGAGCAGCUGAGUCCUAAGAGCACAGGGUCGGGAACCAGGUGUCCAGGGGACAACUCCUGAGCCUCUUGGGAGAGAUGAGCCCAGAGAAUGGUUCUAGAUUUCUUCUGGGCUUUGCACAGAGGGUGGAGGGGAAAGGGCCGGUCCUGACCUGCAAAGAGUGGAGACAGGAGAGAGACCCACGUUCCAGCUUCUGUGUCUACUGUCGUGGGUGCUCCAGCGUGGAGACGGGUCUGAGGCCAAGCAUCUCACAGCACCGCUCUUCCUCCCUGGAGCACCAGGGAAGGAACUGGAAACGAGGCUGGUUGCUGCUGCUUCAAGACUGAUACAGCCACCACACUGGGAAGAAGGUGGGACCAGGACGCUUCUAGCGACAUCGCCUGCACCAGCUCAUGCCCUUCGCACGGCAGCAGUGGAGCAGCACCUGGUUCUGUUUUCACUUGAGAGAAUGUACAAGACGAAAGGCAGCAGCCAACCUGCCGCAGAGAGACCUCACAUGACGCAGAGGUUGGGCCCCGCUUCCUCCUGCGAGGCCAAGGCUGUCUCGGUCUGGUAAACACGGGCAGUCGCAGGGCAUGGCAUCUGCAGGGCAGAGACCCUGAGCCAGUGUCAGUCUUAGGUUAUUACAGCUGUCCAGGGGUUUACAGUUAAGAAACAUUUUUUUUUUUUUAGGAAUAUAAAAAUAUUUAUUGACCGCUGUUCACCAGUAUUUACAAUAAACAGUAUACAGUUGGAUACCAUUCUGAUUACUACAAGGCUGUUCUUCCUGGCUUCUGCAGAACCAGCAACCCAAAUACUGAAAAGAUUGAGCCUACAUGUAAGAAAUGAAUUGGGGUAAGAAAAAACAUGCAGGUCAAUAGUUUAGAUUACAAAAAGUUUGUUCACUCAUUUAUGUCAGCAGGUCUGAAACUGCCAA
Molecule: long non-coding RNA, 1085 nt
Organism: Lemur catta (Ring-tailed lemur)
Lineage: Eukaryota; Metazoa; Chordata; Mammalia; Primates; Lemuridae
Exons: 7
Source: RefSeq, a predicted model, not a curated record